RNAcentral lists this ribosomal RNA (249 nucleotides) under uncultured soil bacterium. Its description in RNAcentral is "partial 16S ribosomal RNA". It matches the Rfam family "Bacterial small subunit ribosomal RNA", at positions 26 to 277 of the family's 1533-position model. The record is from RNAcentral.
AGGACGAACGCUGGCGGCGUGCUUAACACAUGCAAGUCGAGCGGAAAGGCCUUUCGGGGUACUCGAGCGGCGAACGGGUGAGUAACACGUGAGUAAUCUGCCCAUCGCUUCAGGAUAGCCAUCGGAAACGGUGAUUAAUACUGGAUAUGACAUUCCUUCGCAUGUUGGGGUGUGGUAAAGUUUUUUCGGCGGUGGAUGUGCUCGCGGCCUAUCAGCUUGGUUGGUGGGGUAAUGGCCUACCAAGGCUUG